CCCCUCGAGUCACGUGACCCAGAAGGAGCCCAACAUGGCGCAGUCCUAGGCAGCUUCACCGUCGCCCGAGCCCGGGUGGGAGGUUGAGGCAGGAAAAGAAAGAAAGACAGAAAGACAGAAAGACAGAAAGAAGGAGGAAAAGGCGGGGGUCACUGCUUUGCACGAAAGAGGCGCAGGCGGGAAUCCGGCCCGGGAUUCCUGGCAGGGAGUGCCCCCAGCAUCACCAUGGUGAAGAUCUUUGUUGGGGGGCUUUCUCCCAUGGUCACGGCCGAAGAGCUGCGGAAGCUGUUUGAGCAGUACGGGCAGGUGAACGAGUGUGACAUUUUGAAGAAUUUUGCCUUUGUCCACAUGGAGAAGGAGGACGAGGCCCACCAGGCUAUCAGCACCCUGCACAAGAGCGAAUUCUACGGGGCCCACUUGACUGUGGAGUAUGCCACCUCCAAGAUCCGCAACGCCACCAAGAUCUACGUGGGAAAUGUCUCGGCCAAGGCCACCACCGCCCAGAUCCGCCAGCUCUUUGAGCGGUUUGGCAAAGUGGUGGAGUGCGAUAUUGUCAAGAACUUCGCCUUCGUCCACAUGGCCAAGGAGCGGGAAGCCAUGGACGCCAUCUUGAAUCUCAAUGACACCCCCCUGGAGGAUCAGAAAAUUUUUGUGACCCUUUCCAAGAGUAACAGUUCCCUCCGAGCCACGAAGGGGGCCUCCGUGCCCACCACACCCACCCCGACCCCCAGCUACUACUUCUCCAGGGGACGCGUGCCCCCCCCAGCGGCCACCUAUUCGGCCUACUGUCCCCGGGCCUGGUACGACCGGGAGUACUGCGACCAGUACACGUACGAGCUGUAUGACCGAGCGCGAGCAGCUUAUGACCGAGCCCUGCCCCCUGCCCCAGCUGCCUACAGAGAAAGGAGCCCUGUGGGCCGGAGGACAUCCACCCCCACCGCCGUAGUGGCCCAGUAUGCUGACCCCUAUGCCGCGGCUGCGGCUGCAGCUGCUGCAGCCGCUGCAACUGCCGCAGCAAACCAGACGUACAGCCACGCCUACAGCCAACCUGGGUACGCCGCUGCUGCAGCUGCUGCCACGUACUCUCAGUACAGUCUAGGAACCGCCUACAAUGUGGCAGAGUACUACGAGAGGUACGCCAGCGCUUAUGCUGCUCAGUACGCCCAGACGUUUUGAGUGUGCUGCAUCCCGUCCAGCAGCUCUUCCUGGGCAGACUGAGCGCAACGUCUCCUGGCCGAUCAGCCAAGCACUGACUCCCAAGCUGUUUCUGGAAGAAGCCAGGGGAUUUCGGAUGCCCCCCCAUCCUCCAAGCAGGGAGAGCUGAUCCGAAGCAACGCAGCGCCUUUUGUUCUGCUGACAAGAACUCAGAAGGUUCUCCGAGUACCCAAAGGGAAUAUCCUGUCCUUCUGUCACACUCUUAGAAUAGGCACUGGAAAACACACGGGGUGUUCUGAAAAUUGCUAUUUCCUCUUGGGCUCUUGGUGUUCUCGGAGCUCUGAGAAUACCAAGAACCCAACAGCUGAACCCUGAGUCACAUACCUUCCCUUCUAUUGGAAUUGCUGUUUUUGCACCCUGUAUCAACCCUCAGCUUCCAAAUCCUGAGAAAUUUGAGAUACAGGUAGUCCUCAACUUACGACCAUUCAUUUAACAACUGUUCAAAGUUACGAUGGUGCUGAAAAACAUGACUUGUGACCAGUCCUUGCGCUUACAACUGUCACCGUGUCCCUGCGAUCACAUGAUCAAAAUUCAGGUGCUUGGCAACUGGCAUGUAUUUACAACGGUUGCAGCAUCCCAGGGUCACCAUUUUCCACAUUCCCAGCUGGCUUCUGACAAGCAAAGUCAAUGGGGGAAGCCGGAUAUGUUUAAUAACUGUGAGAUUCGCUUAAUGACCACAGCAAAAAAGGUCGUAAAAUCAGGCGCGGCUCACUUAACGACUGCAUCGCUUAGCAAUGGAAGUUCCGGUCCCAAUUGUGGUCGUAAGUCAAGAACUGCCUGUACAUUGGAACUUGGAAUUCCAGACAGGCUGUGAGCUUGCUAGGAAUUCUGGGAGUUGAAGUCCCAAACUUCUGGGCUCCCUUCAGAUGAUGGAAAGCUGGUUUAGACUGCGAUAUGGUUUCUCCCCCUUAAUGCCUGCUCCUUGGAAGAAAUUCCACCCCCCACCCCCCAGGCAUCCCCCCACUACUGACCUGGGACAACUGGCUCUGUGCUUUUCUGCGAUCAGCCGCUGGAUCAUGACCCCUUGCAGGGGCCAGGAGAGAAGACAACUUUGGUGGGUAGGUGACGGGUUGGCAUAAGGAGGAGUACCUUAACAGAGAAAGGAGGGGGGGAGGGCAGCCAUGUUAAAGGCGACUUGGGAAUAGGGUGGGCAACUGGCAGGCCACACACAACCUCACGCCACUCUCAGCCACCAAAAUACAAGCUGGCUGCCUAUAGCUGUCUCUCAGUCUUCUGGUGAGGAUAAGAGGAAAGAUGGAGGCGAGAGAAAGGGUUCGUUCACCCAUCUGGGGCUAUGUCUGCAGGGUCUGAGAUCAAGGCCACAUUCACACAACCCACAGCCAAGUCUAGCCACUCUAGCAGCUCGGUUAAAUCAAAUGUUAAGUGGCCACUAACAGCAACUUUGGGGAGGGCUUGAGAACUGUGCCCAAAGUUUGCAGUGUGGGCACCAGCCUGGUGCUGCCAGAUGUGCUAGGGUGCCCAGACUGGAGAAUUCUGGGAGUUGUAAUCCUAACACCGUUGCGUUCUCAACACGCUUAGCCAGGUCUGUUACAAAUGUGACACCUGCAUUCACAGAACGGCUUGGAUAGUUUUCAAACUGGUUCGUUUUUCAUGUGCUUUGGAGGUCAAGUGGUUCUAGCCUGUUUGGUUAGCUUAUGGCUCAGGGUAUUGGGUGAACCCCCCCCAUGGGAUAUUAUUUAUUAUUAUUUGAUUUAUUAUAGCUCCUCCCUCCAAAAGACUCUGAGCAGCUUGCUUAUGAAAUGUACAUUUAAAACAAUAGCUGCCUGGACAAGUAGACUGCCACAACAGUCAAAAACCCAUGACGGGCUGCACUGGCACACUAGCGCCAGGCCUGGGAACAAAGCCAGAUCUUCAGGGCCUUCCAGAACCUUGGAAAGUGGGUGCCGUACGUAUCUUGCCAGGGGGGAUGCUAUUCCAGAUGGCAGGGGCUAUGACAGAGAAGGCACAUUCCUCAGAUGGCAAUGUUUAAUGGAGGGGGCCUGGGGUGCACCCACGCUGCCUGAACAUACUGGGGCAGGGGGCAGAAACAACUGGAGGCAGGCAGUCCCUCAAGGUACCAGGCCCUAUGCCCUGUAGGGCUUUAUAGGCGACUAGACAACCUGUGGCCCGUUGGGUCAUCGUUUCAGAGCUAUUUCCUUACCAGAUUCCUCAGUGCCUUCAACAAUGGCAGAGCUUCUAAUGUCCUGGAAAAGUUCUUAAAAAUUCAGGGAGAUAGUUAGAGAUGCACCUGCUUUGAAAGUAGCCUGUGUUGAACUGUAUAGCCCAGUCAAACAUCUGGAGUUGAAUUAUGCUUUAUGAAAAAAAUUAUGUCAUAAAAUGUUUUAUAACAUUUGCCAAAUUUCUAUUCCAUGGGAGUCCUGCGUCCCGGAUUUUGGACGCAUUCUGUAAGUUAGCCUAUUUGAGGUACCUUGGUUCAAAAAUUGUCACCCUACGAUGCACCAUUUUACCCAGUUAAAGGUUACAAAGUAUCAAACAGACAUAAGAGUUUUAGUAGUAUAUAGAUGACCUGCACCUUGAAUUGCACCCGGAAACUGAUGGGCAGCCUGUGCAGCUUGCAUUGCAGCCAUGACACAUGGGUAUAAGGAGAAGCACCCAUUACUGCUUGUAUUGCUGCAUUUUGAACCAGCUGUAGCUUCCAGAUGGUCUUCAAGGGUAGUCCCAUGCAGAGCUCAUUGCAGUAAUCCAACCGCAAGGUGACCAGGGUGUGAGUGUCUGUCCGGAG
Molecule: RNA transcript, 3958 nt
Organism: Candoia aspera
Lineage: Eukaryota; Metazoa; Chordata; Lepidosauria; Squamata; Candoiidae
Gene name: RNA-binding protein 4-like
Exons: 4
Source: RefSeq, a predicted model, not a curated record